ACAAGCCUGACUAACCUGCAUCAAGCUGUUGUAGCUUAGAUAUGCUUUAUCCUCCAAAGGAUCAGAGCUGUCGAUUAGCCAUAAAUGGAAAACUAAUGUUAUGGGAUAGAGACUUUAAGAUGUGGGAGCCUGAUGGGAGAUAAUUACGUCAUGGAGGAUACACUCUAAUAAACAGAGGAUUGUAUUCUCACAAAAGAGAAUGAAGGCUAAGGAAUCUGAAGAAUACUGGACAAAUGAGACAUCUGAAGAAAAAGAACAAAUCAUCUAGAAAAAAAUAUCCCAAGAAAAAUAGUAAAUUGGCCUAUUGUUUUCUGCAGGGAAUCAUGACCAGGCCAAACAUCAAUUUUGAAGUCUCCAGAAAGAUGAUGGGACCCCACAACAAUGAUUCCACAUAGACAAUAAUAACACCACAAAGCUGACAAACAUCUCCAAAAGAUCAGCUUUGGACUACAGACUGCUCAGAACAAUUUCCUGAUGGCUAGCUGAGAUGAUCCAGCUUCAAGACUACUUGAACAAGGAUUUGAGAUAAGUCCUGAACUUUUGCUUUAUGCAGAGACUGGACAACAAAUGACAACUACCUCUGCUGGAACUUGACAAUUAACUCAAAAUUUUUCUUUUCAGGAUCCCCUAAAGAUGCCUUCACCCACAAACAGCAGGAAGUAAUUUUAAGAACACAACACCCACAUUCUCAAGAGCACAGUCCAGAGCUGGAAGGUUAGAUGACAGUAAAUCCAACAGACGUUCCUAUAGUGAGAAGGAACAAACCAAUAUCGUGUAGUGAAUUGACCUGAGCUGUUCUUCCCGGAGGCACACAUGAGCACAUCGCGGAAAUCAUCUGUGCUAACAACCUAGGCUGGAGAGUCUCCCAUGAUCCUUUAUGUAGGCAGAGAAGAUAUCAUCUCCCUGACCAGAAGAAAAUAACAAAAACCUGAAAACUCCCAGGGAGUCUUGCUAUGAAGCAACAACAGGAGCAUGUCGCCUGCCACAUCCCACUUACGCUCAUUCAGGCAGAACAGAAACUUCAGCAGCCCAUCCUGUGGCUCUGCACUUUCCUUCCAUUCCUCCCUGUGUUUUGCCAAAAGUC
Long non-coding RNA from Peromyscus eremicus (cactus mouse), 1084 nucleotides. RefSeq lists it as uncharacterized. The transcript has 5 exons. The record is from RefSeq and is a predicted model, not a curated record. NCBI's taxonomy places the organism in Eukaryota, Metazoa, Chordata, Mammalia, Rodentia, Cricetidae.